GACGAACGCUGGCGGCGUGCUUAACACAUGCAAGUCGAACGGAAAGGCCCUGCUUUUGUGGGGUGCUCGAGUGGCGAACGGGUGAGUAACACGUGAGUAACCUGCCCUUGACUUUGGGAUAACUUCAGGAAACUGGGGCUAAUACCGGAUAGGAGCUCCUGCUGCAUGGUGGGGGUUGGAAAGUUUCGGCGGUUGGGGAUGGACUCGCGGCUUAUCAGCUUGUUGGUGGGGUAGUGGCUUACCAAGGCUUUGACGGGUAGCCGGCCUGGGAGGGUGACCGGCCACAUUGGGGCUGAGCUACGGCCCAGACUCCUACGGGAGGCAGCAGUGGAGAAUAUUGCACAAUGGGCGGAAGCCUGAUGCAGCAACGCCGCGUGCGGAAUGACGGCCUUCGGGUUGUAAACCGCUUUCGCCUGUGACGAAGCGUGAGUGACGGUAAUGGGUAAAGAAGCACCGGCUAACUACGUG
Molecule: ribosomal RNA, 468 nt
Filed under: uncultured bacterium
Lineage: Bacteria
Description: partial 16S ribosomal RNA
Rfam family: Bacterial small subunit ribosomal RNA
Source: RNAcentral